AGCUCCAAGAAUACGGGGAGGAGGUGGCCCGGGUCGGCGUCGGCGCCGUCCGGCGCGGGCCACGGGCCCGCUUCCAAGUGCGUCUGCGCGCCGGCCACCCACGCUGGGUCCUUCAAGUGCCGCUUCCACCGCACCAACUCCCAGGGCCACGGCCACGGUCCAGGGAAGCUGCCCUUCUUCGCCCCUUCACCGGCCGCGGCCAACGCGGUGCCGCGGCACCCGGCCUCGCCGUUCUCGUCCUCCGGCACCAUCGCGACCCAGUGA
Molecule: ribosomal RNA, 264 nt
Filed under: Triticum aestivum (bread wheat)
Lineage: Eukaryota; Viridiplantae; Streptophyta; Magnoliopsida; Poales; Poaceae
Description: partial small subunit ribosomal RNA
Source: RNAcentral